GAUGAACGCUGGCGGCGUGCCUAAUACAUGCAAGUCGAGCGAACAGACGAGGAGCUUGCUCCUCUGACGUUAGCGGCGGACGGGUGAGUAACACGUGGAUAACCUACCUAUAAGACUGGGAUAACUUCGGGAAACCGGAGCUAAUACCGGAUAAUAUAUUGAACCGCAUGGUUCAAUAGUGAAAGACGGUUUUGCUGUCACUUAUAGAUGGAUCCGCGCCGCAUUAGCUAGUUGGUAAGGUAACGGCUUACCAAGGCAACGAUGCGUAGCCGACCUGAGAGGGUAGGAGGCCACACUGACAGGAGACACGGUCCCGGACCCCAGAGGGAGGGGACAGGAGGGAAUCGGCAGCAGUGGGCGAAGCCUGGAGGGAACACCGCGCGGUGAGUAAGGAGGUCUUCGUGAUGAAAAAACUUUUUUAUGGGGGAAAAAAAAAGUUGUAAGUACAUGUCCCCGUGUUGAGGGUCCCUAAGAAAAAGGCACGCGCUAACCCGGUC
RNAcentral lists this ribosomal RNA (497 nucleotides) under uncultured bacterium. RNAcentral's name for it is "partial 16S ribosomal RNA". It matches the Rfam family "Bacterial small subunit ribosomal RNA", at positions 28 to 507 of the family's 1533-position model. The record is from RNAcentral.